This 889-nucleotide ribosomal RNA is filed under the name uncultured eukaryote. Its description in RNAcentral is "SSU rRNA". It matches the Rfam family "Eukaryotic small subunit ribosomal RNA", at positions 562 to 1474 of the family's 1831-position model. The record is from RNAcentral.
UUGUGCCAGCAGCCGCGGUAAUUCCAGCUCCAAUAGCGUAUAUUAAAGUUGUUGCGGUUAAAAAGCUCGUAGUUGGAUCUCGGCAAGUAGAGGGCGGUAUGCUUCGUAGCAUUACUGCCCUAUUACUUGUAGUUUUGCCAGAGGUUCCUGGGUGCUCUUAAUCGAGUGUCUAGGGAUGCUGGCAGGUUUACUUUGAAAAAAUUAGAGUGCUCAAAGCAGGCUAUUACGCUUGAAUAUUCGUGCAUGGAAUAAUAGAAUAGGAAGUUGUUUCUAUUUUGUUGGUUUUCGGAAAUCGACUUAAUGAUUAAUAGGGACAGUCGGGGGCAUUUGUAUUCAAACGACAGAGGUGAAAUUCUUGGACCGUUUGAAGACAAACUACUGCGAAAGCAUUUGCCAAGAAUGUUUUCAUUAAUCAAGAACGAAAGUUAGAGGUUCGAAGGCGAUUAGAUACCGCCCUAGUUCUAACCAUAAACGAUGCCAGCUAGCGAUCUGAGGACGUUUUUUUUGUAGACUCCUCAGGAAGCUUCCGGGAAACCAAAGCGUGUGGGUUCCGGGGGAAGUAUGGUUGCAAAGCUGAAACUUAAAGGAAUUGACGGAAGGGCACCACCAGGAGUGGAGCCUGCGGCUUAAUUUGACUCAACACGGGAAAUCUCACCAGGCCCGGACACUGGAAGGAUUGACAGAUUGAGAGCUCUUUCUCGAUUCGGUGGGUGGUGGUGCAUGGCCGUUCUUAGUUGGUGGAGUGAUUUGUCUGGUUAAUUCCGAUAACGAACGAGACUCUGUCCUGCUAAAUAGUGUCAGCCUCUCUUCUGGGCUGACAAUUCUUCUUAGAGGGACUGGCGGCUCCUAGCCGCACGAGAUAGAGCAAUAACAGGUCUGUGAUGCCCAA